CCUACGGGAGGCAGCAGUGGGGAAUAUUGGGCAAUGGGCGAAAGCCUGACCCAGCAACGCCGCGUGAAGGAAGAAGGCUUUCGGGUUGUAAACUUCUUUUGACAGGGAAGAGCAGAAGACGGUACCUGUCGAAUAAGCCACGGCUAACUACGUGCCAGCAGCCGCGGUAAUACGUAGGUGGCAAGCGUUGUCCGGAUUUACUGGGUGUAAAGGGCGUGUAGCCGGGCUGAUAAGUCAGAUGUGAAAUCCGGGGGCUCAACCCCCGAACUGCAUUUGAAACUGUUGGUCUUGAGUAUCGGAGAGGCAGGCGGAAUUCCUAGUGUAGCGGUGAAAUGCGUAGAUAUUAGGAGGAACACCAGUGGCGAAGGCAGCCUGCUGGACGACAACUGACGGUGAGGCGCGAAAGCGUGGGGAGCAAACAGGAUUAGAUACCCCUGUAGUC
Molecule: ribosomal RNA, 442 nt
Filed under: uncultured bacterium
Lineage: Bacteria
Description: partial 16S ribosomal RNA
Rfam family: Bacterial small subunit ribosomal RNA
Source: RNAcentral